RNAcentral lists this ribosomal RNA (501 nucleotides) under Enhydrobacter sp. SAJ2-1. RNAcentral's name for it is "bacterial SSU rRNA". It matches the Rfam family "Bacterial small subunit ribosomal RNA", at positions 154 to 655 of the family's 1533-position model. The record is from RNAcentral. Lineage: Bacteria; Pseudomonadati; Pseudomonadota; Alphaproteobacteria; Hyphomicrobiales.
AAACUCGAAUUAAUACCGCAUACGACCUACGGGUGAAAGGGGGCGCAAGCUCUUGCUAUUAGAUGAGCCUAAAUCAGAUUAGCUAGUUGGUGGGGUAAAGGCCCACCAAGGCGACGAUCUGUAACUGGUCUGAGAGGAUGAUCAGUCACACCGGAACUGAGACACGGUCCGGACUCCUACGGGAGGCAGCAGUGGGGAAUAUUGGACAAUGGGGGCAACCCUGAUCCAGCCAUGCCGCGUGUGUGAAGAAGGCCUUUUGGUUGUAAAGCACUUUAAGCAGGGAGGAGAGGCUAAUGGUUAAUACCCAUUAGAUUAGACGUUACCUGCAGAAUAAGCACCGGCUAACUCUGUGCCAGCAGCCGCGGUAAUACAGAGGGUGCGAGCGUUAAUCGGAAUUACUGGGCGUAAAGCGAGUGUAGGUGGCUCAUUAAGUCACAUGUGAAAUCCCCGGGCUUAACCUGGGAACUGCAUGUGAUACUGGUGGUGCUAGAAUAUGUGAGA